This 493-nucleotide ribosomal RNA is filed under the name uncultured bacterium. RNAcentral's name for it is "bacterial SSU rRNA". It matches the Rfam family "Bacterial small subunit ribosomal RNA", at positions 26 to 518 of the family's 1533-position model. The record is from RNAcentral.
AGGACGAACGCUGGCGGCGUGCCUAACACAUGCAAGUCGAGCGGAGUUAACAAGAGGAAGUUUCGGAUGGAAUUUGUUAAUUAGCGGCGGACGGGUGAGUAACGCGUGAGCGACCAACCUUGCACAGGGGGAUAACGGACCGAAAGGUUCACUAAUACCGCAUGAGACCACGGUGUUGCAUGACACAGAGGUCAAAGGAGCAAUCCGGUGCAAGACGGGCUCGCGUCCGAUUAGGUAGUUGGUGGGGUAAUGGCCCACCAAGCCUAUGAUCGGUAGCCGACCUGAGAGGGUGAUCGGCCACAUUGGAACUGAGAUACGGUCCAAACUCCUACGGGAGGCAGCAGUGGGGAAUAUUGGGCAAUGGGGGGAAACCCUGACCCAGCAACGCCGCGUGAAGGAAGAAGGUUUUCGGAUUGUAAACUUCUGUCCUUGGUGAAGAGAAGAAGACGGUAGCCAAGGAGGAAGCCCCGGCUAACUACGUGCCAGCCGCCGC